UUGUGAACUGCAGGACACAUGAACAUUGAUAAGUUKGACGCAUAUUGCACGUCGUGGGACCUACCAUGAUGUACACAUAACUGAGUGCUUAUAUUUAUAAAUGUAUCGCAUACAUUUAACUACGCCGUGGCUAACGUCACGAGACGUGCAUAAUGAUGCAAGAAUGAUGGCCCGACAGCUCGCUUGCAUUCAAGAACCGUGGUAUUAAUUACUGGCAUUGGAACUCGAAGUACAUGUAAAGGGGCGUGUUCCCGCGUGACGCGGAAGUACGAGGAGAAGGCGUGUCUAAUGUUGUGUGUGGGGGUUACUGAUGUCUUGCUUCUGCGUUAUUUAUUAAUUUAAAUAAGAGGCGGGCAUCAAAGUUUCGUCGAAGCAUCGGCUAAUGGCACAAAUGAUUCAAGUAUGGAACCGGAACAAAGGAACACAAACAAAUAUAUUAUGGAGAUUGGAAGGUAAAGGUGAUUAAAACCACACGCGGGAGAAAAACCCGUGCCGGGCCAACGGCUAAAUUGGCAGUAUAAAAAGUAGUCGCAUGCCAGUAUGUGACGAUUGACAACCGCAAGGUAAAUAAGCCUCAGUUUAUGUGUGACUACCCCCUGAAUUUAAGCAUAAA
This 613-nucleotide ribosomal RNA is filed under the name Anopheles cf. coustani 2 NFL-2015. RNAcentral's name for it is "eukaryotic LSU rRNA". The record is from RNAcentral. Lineage: Eukaryota; Metazoa; Arthropoda; Insecta; Diptera; Culicidae.